CCUACGGGGCGCUGCAGUGGGGAAUAUUGCACAAUGGGCGCAAGCCUGAUGCAGCCAUGCCGCGUGUGUGAAGAAGGCCUUCGGGUUGUAAAGCACUCUCAGCGGGGAGGAAGGCGUUAAGGUUAAUAACCUUGGCGAUUGACGUUACCCGCAGAAGAAGCACCGGCUAACUCCGUGCCAGCAGCCGCGGUAAUACGGAGGGUGCAAGCGUUAAUCGGAAUUACUGGGCGUAAAGCGCACGCAGGCGGUCUGUCAAGUCGGAUGUGACAUCCCCGGGCUCAACCUGGGAACUGCAUUCGAAACUUGCAGGCUAGAGUCUUGUAGAGGGGGGUAGGAAUCCAGGUGUAGCGGUGAAAUGCGUAGAGGUCUUGAGGAAUACCGGUGGGGGAGGCGGCCCCCCGGACAAAGACUGACGCUCAGGUGCGAAAGCGUGGGGAGCAAACAGGGGUAGAUACCCGGGUAGUC
Molecule: ribosomal RNA, 465 nt
Filed under: uncultured Klebsiella sp.
Lineage: Bacteria; Pseudomonadati; Pseudomonadota; Gammaproteobacteria; Enterobacterales; Enterobacteriaceae
Description: bacterial SSU rRNA
Rfam family: Bacterial small subunit ribosomal RNA
Source: RNAcentral